GCUGAGGAGAAGCCUGAUGGGUUACGCUUCAGAAUUUCAUGUGCUCAUGGGUAGGCUGGAACUUGGAUGUGCAUUGGCAGGUCUGCAUUGGCAGACCAGAUGUCACCAUACAGACAACAAUAUCCUACAGGACAGAAAAGCUUGAAAGUAAAAGAAACUUUGGUGUUUGAAUAAACCACACAUUUGUCCUGGACAACCUGCCUAUCGUUGAACUGUUACAUGAGAGAAAAAGAGAUUUCUCUCUUAUUUGAACAAUUGCAUUUUCAAGUCUUUUUGUUACAGCAGCAUAACUGAUACCCUAACCCUGACAAAUACAUUUUUAAACAAAAGGAGGAAUGCUACUAUCGUACUCUAUGCUGGUCCAGUCUUACUUGGGGUGCAGUAUUCUCAUCUGUGAAUCACAUUUCAAGGGGCCUAAAGACAAAGUAGAAGUGUUCAGAUAACAGCAACAUGAUUGGUGAGAAAUUCAAAGUUGAAGAAACUGGAAGAGCAGAUUUAGAGUAAGUAGGAGUGCCACUUUCAAAUGUCUGAGGAACUGGCCUGUGAAAGAAUGAUUCACUUUGUUCUGUGUAGUUUCAGUAGAUAGAAGUAUGGUUCAACGGGAAAACUGAUUUUGCUGAAGAGAAAGAUUUCUGGCUGUCAGGUCUGCAUAGACAUUGGAGGCACUGAGUUCCCUGCUCAUGGAGAUAUUUUUCACAGAGCCUGGAUAAUCAUUUGGCUGGAUUUGUAACAACUGUGUAUCAUACAGCAUGAAAAUGCAUUUUCUAGCUUCCCUUGAAGUGAAAUGUGAGCAAAAAUGAUGCCAGCCACUCCCAGACCGGCCCAUAGAAACCUCCCAUAUUCUUUCUUCUUCUGCUGCUGGAUAUUGACACAGGGGAUGACUUUGAAAGCUGAGUAUUGAAGAUGGCAGAAGCUGUCUUUCAGCCUUGGUCCCUGAACAACAUGUUGAGCAGAUCCCGUGGUAAUCUGGAACUGCCCUGGACUGUAGGAAUCAACUUCUUUAUACAACAAUGGCAGAGAAGUUCUACAAUAUGGAGUCCUGUGAUAAAAGGUCCAGCUGACUGACCCACCAGCUGGUGACCAGCAGAGCAGAGGAGGAGCAAGCACAGGACCUUCACCUUUCCUGCCAGGUGUGGGCGCCAGUCAAGGUGGGCUCCAGGCUCUGAUGCAGGCAUGAGAGGAUGUUGCAGCAGAUGUGCUGCUUGCUUUUAAAGCUCUGGAACACAACAAAGAUGAGGUUUUCUGUAGAUGUGUACAUGAUUUUCAUAUAGAAAGAUUUCCUUUUUCCUAAAGUCUAGAAAACAAGUAAAUACCAAGUGAAUCACUGA
Molecule: long non-coding RNA, 1328 nt
Filed under: Homo sapiens (human)
Lineage: Eukaryota; Metazoa; Chordata; Mammalia; Primates; Hominidae
Description: long intergenic non-protein coding RNA 1258
Source: RNAcentral